UGCAAAGUGGUGUACAGUAGUAGCCACGUUCCUGGCUCUGAGUAAGAAGUCAUGAGAGUAUAUGUAAAGGGCCCACCACCCAGCUACUCACAGUAGAUGCUCAAGAGACAAGAACAACCCUAUCAUUAUAUGAAGUUCAAUGCAACUCAUCUGAUUCCCCUUCCAGUGGCUGGAGAGCAUCCCACCUUCUGACCCUUGGGGAGAAGCAGAGUGUGCCCUUUCCCUGCCCACUGGAUACGCUGAAACAACACGAACUCCCUUCCCUGGCCUCCCUGCAGUGGAUCUAAACUGCAUCCCUGAAUUAUUACAGUCUACCUUAAGGUUA
Long non-coding RNA from Cercocebus atys (sooty mangabey), 325 nucleotides. RefSeq lists it as uncharacterized. The transcript has 3 exons. The record is from RefSeq and is a predicted model, not a curated record. NCBI's taxonomy places the organism in Eukaryota, Metazoa, Chordata, Mammalia, Primates, Cercopithecidae.